RNAcentral lists this ribosomal RNA (461 nucleotides) under uncultured bacterium. RNAcentral describes it as "SSU rRNA". It matches the Rfam family "Bacterial small subunit ribosomal RNA", at positions 26 to 518 of the family's 1533-position model. The record is from RNAcentral.
AGGAUAAACGCUGGCGGCGUGCCUAACACAUGCAAGUCGAACGCUCUCUGGCAACAGAGGGAGUGGCGGACGGGUGAGUAACACGUGGGUACCUACCCCAAGGUGAGGAAUACCGGCGAGAAAUCGCCGACAAUACCGCAUAGCUUUCGCAAGAAAGAAAGCUUCGUAAGAGGCGCCAUGGGAAGGGCCUGCGGCCGAUUAGCUAGUUGGUAAGGUAAAAGCUUACCAAGGCGACGAUCGGUAGCUGGUCUGAGAGGACGAUCAGCCACACUGGGAUUGAGAACGGCCCAGACUCCUACGGGGGGCAGCAGUGAGGAAUUUUCGUCAAUGGGGGCAACCCGUGAACGAGCAACGCCGCGUGCAGGAAGAAGGUUUUCGGAUCGUAAACUGCUUUUCUCUGGGACGAGAACGGACGGUACCAGGAGGAAUAAGCCCCGGACUAACUACGUGCCAGCAGCCGC